This 253-nucleotide ribosomal RNA is filed under the name uncultured bacterium. RNAcentral describes it as "partial 16S ribosomal RNA". It matches the Rfam family "Bacterial small subunit ribosomal RNA", at positions 524 to 776 of the family's 1533-position model. The record is from RNAcentral.
UACGUAGGGUGCAAGCGUUAAUCGGAAUUACUGGGCGUAAAGCGUGCGCAGGCGGUUAUGUAAGACAGGUGUGAAAUCCCCGGGCUUAACCUGGGAACCGCAUUUGUGACUGCAUAGCUAGAGUACGGCAGAGGGGGAUGGAAUUCCGCGUGUAGCAGUGAAAUGCGUAGAUAUGCGGAGGAACACCGAUGGCGAAGGCAAUCCCCUGGGCCUGUACUGACGCUGAGGUACGAAAGCGUGGGGAGCAAACAGG